Molecule: transfer RNA, 71 nt
Filed under: Cavia porcellus (domestic guinea pig)
Lineage: Eukaryota; Metazoa; Chordata; Mammalia; Rodentia; Caviidae
Rfam family: tRNA
About the family: Transfer RNA (tRNA) molecules are approximately 80 nucleotides in length. Their secondary structure includes four short double-helical elements and three loops (D, anti-codon, and T loops). Further hydrogen bonds mediate the characteristic L-shaped molecular structure. tRNAs have two regions of fundamental functional importance: the anti-codon, which is responsible for specific mRNA codon recognition, and the 3' end, to which the tRNAs corresponding amino acid is attached (by aminoacyl-tRNA synthetases). tRNAs cope with the degeneracy of the genetic code in two manners: having more than one tRNA (with a specific anti-codon) for a particular amino acid; and 'wobble' base-pairing, i.e. permitting non-standard base-pairing at the 3rd anti-codon position.
Source: Rfam by way of RNAcentral
GGUGGUAUAGCUCAGUGAUAGAGCAUUUGCCCAGCAUGCAUGAGGCCUGGGUUCAAUCCACAGUACCCCUC